CAGUAGCCGCGGUAAUACGGAGGGGGCUAGCGUUGUUCGGAAUUACUGGGCGUAAAGCGCACGUAGGCGGCUUGGUAAGUUAGAGGUGAAAGCCUGGAGCUCAACUCCAGAAUUGCCCUUAAGACUGCCGAGCUAGCAGGUGAGAGAGGUAAGUGGAAUUCCGAGUGUAGAGGUGAAAUUCGUAGAUAUUCGGAAGAACACCAGUGGCGAAGGCGGCUUACUGGCUCAUACUGGACGCUGAGGUGCGAAAGCGUGGGGAGCAAACAGGAUUAGAUACCCCUGUAGUCCCUGUCUCUUAUAC
This 301-nucleotide ribosomal RNA is filed under the name uncultured bacterium. RNAcentral describes it as "partial 16S ribosomal RNA". It matches the Rfam family "Bacterial small subunit ribosomal RNA", at positions 509 to 807 of the family's 1533-position model. The record is from RNAcentral.